CUUUAGGAAGCAUCAGGAAAUGGGGUGUCUGGCAUCAGCGCCCCUCACUACCCCCACUCUCUCCACGCCGAAGGGACCACUUGUUCCGUGGCUGACGGCGGCGGCCGCCUGCAACUGGGAUUGAGGCUGAGAGCCAGCCGGGGCCACGGCGGCAUCUGCCAGGGAGCGUGCAGGUGGGCGCAGCCUCGGAAGAAACUUUUAAGCAGGACCAAAUCACUCAUAUGUGAGCCAGUUGUGACCUGGGCCUGAUCCACUCUGCAUCAUUGCAGAUACCAAGCACUGUUACCAGUUGUCCACAUGAAAGAUGCUGCAGCAGGGAAUACACUCUUGAGCACCAACUGAUACUCAGGUCAUGUUCUUUACGUGCCCCAGUGGGAGCCAACUCCUGCUGUUGAUGUGGAGUACCUACAAGAUCAAAACAUCCUACAAUGUUGAGCCUCUACAAAAAAAGAAUGGACUCACCAGAUUGUCUUGCAGAUACAAAGGAAGCUGCAAAUGCAAGAAAUAAACAUCUGUCUUGUUAAAUCACAUCGAAUUGAUGAUAUUUAUACUGUAUCUUAACCUGGCCUGUCUUGAUAAUACACUAUAUAGUAGCAGUGAUGUGCAGAUUAUCUUGCAAAAUAAGGAUGAUCUUAAGUCAUCAGAGGAAGCGGGGGGAG
This 659-nucleotide long non-coding RNA is filed under the name Heterocephalus glaber (naked mole-rat). Its description in RNAcentral is "lncRNA (ENSHGLG00100037733.1)". The record is from RNAcentral. Lineage: Eukaryota; Metazoa; Chordata; Mammalia; Rodentia; Bathyergidae.